RNAcentral lists this transfer RNA (66 nucleotides) under Camelus bactrianus (Bactrian camel). It matches the Rfam family "tRNA". Rfam says of the family: Transfer RNA (tRNA) molecules are approximately 80 nucleotides in length. Their secondary structure includes four short double-helical elements and three loops (D, anti-codon, and T loops). Lineage: Eukaryota; Metazoa; Chordata; Mammalia; Artiodactyla; Camelidae. RNAcentral also lists the same sequence under 2 other names. The record is from Rfam by way of RNAcentral.
GGUAUAGCUCAGUGGUACGAGCGCAUGAUUAGCAUGCAGGAGGUCCUGGGUUCGAUCCCCAGUACC